CACUCGCUCGCCUCUGUUCGCCACUCAGUCGUCGCCUCUCUUCUCCCCAUCGCCUCUGUACUGCCACCUCGCCGGCCACCACCUCGCCCACCUCGCCGGCCAGGCGGCCACCAGCUCUCCCCGUCACCGCUGUCUUUCUCCCGCCUCCACUCACACCCGUCGUCCACUCGCACCCCACAUCCGAGGUCAAGCUUUGAUGCGCCUGCUCUGGAUCUGGCGACGGAGGCGGUGGAUGCGGGAGAUAGGGAGGAGGCCGUCGCGGUGGUGUGGCUGGACCACAUCCUCAAGCACACCGAUGGCGCCAUGGAGGAGGCCGAGCGCAUCUGCCGCUGCCACAACGCCGACGGCGCCAUGGAGUACUGGCUCGAGCCGGACGAGCUCGCGGCCCUGCGCCGGGAGAUCCGCGUCGACCCGUACUGGGUGCCGCCAGGGUGGAAACGCGGAGACCCCGUGUCCGCGGAUGGCUACGCGCUCAAGGCAAAGAUGCGGGUGGAGGAGCUCAGCAAGGAGCUCGCCGGAUUAAAAAGGGAGGUGUCUGACGAAGGAAGCUGCGAGGGGGACACGGCGGCCGAUGACGGCGGCCGAUGAAGUAUGACAUUACAUCAUCCCAAAUGUUCAUUAUUCCAGUGCCACGCCCAGAGGGCUGGAUGGUGCGAAUCUUUGACAAUUGACAUGGUGACAAAAAUAACAAAUGUUUUUGACCCACUGUACACGAAAAUUUCUAAUAGUCAUCCGACCAAGGAACGAGAUCAGGGCACAGACUGGGAGUUGCACAAUGCAUUGUUUUCAUGUUUGAACGAAUUCUAUGCUGGAUGGCCGACGAAGCAAGGAAAAUUGGGGCGUCAAGCACAAUCCAACCACUGAUGCCAUCUUCAUACUAGCCGAGACAGGGACAUGCAUGAUCCACAUCGCUUGUCACUUCGAUGGAGAAAAGCUUAAGCUUCAGCUUACAAAGCACAACGUCUCCAAAACAAAGAAGGACGCCCUCCAUGAGUGUGCUUGAAGCUUCAGGGCAACUUCUCUGCACUUGCGCACAAUGCGUGGCAUCUGAUUCUGUGUUCAACAACUAGGAAGGGGCCUGCAACAGCGCCAUUUGCGUUAGACUGAUCAUCAGACACUUGCCGCUAUCUGCCUUCUAAUCGUUAUGUGCCAGACUGACUUUUGUAAAUAUCAAUGAUAAUAUCAUGAACGACAACUAUUUCUGCUUCGACUUA
Molecule: non-coding RNA, 1214 nt
Organism: Aegilops tauschii subsp. strangulata
Lineage: Eukaryota; Viridiplantae; Streptophyta; Magnoliopsida; Poales; Poaceae
Source: RefSeq, a predicted model, not a curated record